AAAAAUUUAAAUUAAUUUACUAAAAAAUUAAUAGUUAUGUUCUUUAAAUUUAAAAAAUUUGGCGGUAUUUUAGUCUUAUUAGAGGAAUCUGUUUAUUAAUUGAUAAUCCACGAUUAAUUUUACUUAUUUUAAUUAAUUCAUAUAUCGCUGUCAUGAAUAUAUUUAAAAAAAUUUAUUUUCUUUAAUUAUUUUAAUAAUUUAUGUUAAGUCAAGAUGUGGUUUAUAAAUAAGAAUAUAAUGGAUUACAUUAAAUUUUAUUUUUGGAUUUUGAAUGAAAAUUAAAAUGAAAUUGGAUUUAAUAGUAAGUUUAAUUAUUUUAUUAAUAUGAAUAAAGAUCUA
Molecule: ribosomal RNA, 339 nt
Filed under: Hyalopterus arundiniformis
Lineage: Eukaryota; Metazoa; Arthropoda; Insecta; Hemiptera; Aphididae
Description: partial small subunit ribosomal RNA
Source: RNAcentral